UGCCAAGAAUAUGAUGUGUGCUGCUGACCCCCGCCAUGGCCGCUACUUGACUGCCUCAGCUAUGUUUAGAGGAAAGAUGAGCACCAAAGAGGUGGACGAACAGAUGAUUAAUGUGCAAAAUAAAAAUUCAUCAUAUUUUGUGGAGUGGAUUCCUAACAAUGUAAAGUCUAGUGUGUGUGAUAUACCUCCCAAGGGAUUGAGGAUGGCAUCAACAUUUGUAGGGAACUCCACAUCAAUCCAGGAGAUGUUCAGGAGGGUGAGUGAGCAGUUCACAGCCAUGUUUCGUCGCAAGGCCUUCUUGCACUGGUACACUGGAGAAGGAAUGGAUGAGAUGGAGUUCACUGAAGCCGAGAGCAACAUGAAUGAUUUGGUGGCAGAGUACCAGCAGUACCAGGAUGCAACUGCUGAGGAGGAUGUAGAGUAUGAGGAGGGCAUUGAAGAGAAUUAUGAGGGCUAAGAAGCUUAUGAAUUGUGGCUAUGUUUUCAGAGUCAGAAUGAGGUUUGAUGGCUCAACCUCACUUGUUCAUGUAUCUACUACUACUAUGUGGCUGUCAGUAUUUUCUCUGUUGAUUUGAUAUUCGGUUUCCUGAGGUGAUAUUGUUGGUUUGUUAUAUCAAGCCUUUGAAUAAAGGAAUUUCAUGUUUGAUUUUACCUGCUUAGAAAGGGCGAAAGGGGGUGGAAUUAUGUUGCUUUAUGUUGGGGCUUUUUCUUGAAAAGUGCUCAGGAAUUACUUGCUGGAAGCAAUCGGGAGUGAAUUGAAUUUGAAUGCAAACUAUAAUUGAUGUUAAAGACAAAUGAAUUUCUUUUGUACGACUGCUGGAUUUCUGUACGCUUGCUUAUUAUCCUUCAAAGUGAAUUGAAUUUGAAUGCAAACUAUAAUUGAUGUUAAAGACAAAUGAAUUUCUUUUGUACGACUGCUGGAUUUCUGUACGCUUGCUUAUUAUCCUUCAAAGUGAAAAAUUAUGAUUGCUACAUUUCUUCAAGUAAUAGUGUCAUAAGUUUCUUUCACAGUGCAAGGUUGUCGCUCAUUCUGCUUUUAUUAAUC
This 1045-nucleotide unclassified non-coding RNA is filed under the name Hevea brasiliensis (rubber tree). Lineage: Eukaryota; Viridiplantae; Streptophyta; Magnoliopsida; Malpighiales; Euphorbiaceae. The record is from RNAcentral.